Molecule: ribosomal RNA, 688 nt
Filed under: Acinetobacter sp.
Lineage: Bacteria; Pseudomonadati; Pseudomonadota; Gammaproteobacteria; Moraxellales; Moraxellaceae
Description: bacterial SSU rRNA
Rfam family: Bacterial small subunit ribosomal RNA
Source: RNAcentral
UCCUACCGGAGGCAGCAGUGGGGAAUAUUGGACAAUGGGCGAAAGCCUGAUCCAGCCAUGCCGCGUGUGUGAAGAAGGCCUUUUGGUUGUAAAGCACUUUAAGCGAGGAGGAGGCUACCGAGAUUAAUACUCUUGGAUAGUGGACGUUACUCGCAGAAUAAGCACCGGCUAACUCUGUGCCAGCAGCCGCGGUAAUACAGAGGGUGCGAGCGUUAAUCGGAUUUACUGGGCGUAAAGCGUGCGUAGGCGGCUUUUUAAGUCGGAUGUGAAAUCCCUGAGCUUAACUUAGGAAUUGCAUUCGAUACUGGGAAGCUAGAGUAUGGGAGAGGAUGGUAGAAUUCCAGGUGUAGCGGUGAAAUGCGUAGAGAUCUGGAGGAAUACCGAUGGCGAAGGCAGCCAUCUGGCCUAAUACUGACGCUGAGGUACGAAAGCAUGGGGAGCAAACAGGAUUAGAUACCCUGGUAGUCCAUGCCGUAAACGAUGUCUACUAGCCGUUGGGGCCUUUGAGGCUUUAGUGGCGCAGCUAACGCGAUAAGUAGACCGCCUGGGGAGUACGGUCGCAAGACUAAAACUCAAAUGAAUUGACGGGGGCCCGCACAAGCGGUGGAGCAUGUGGUUUAAUUCGAUGCAACGCGAAGAACCUUACCUGGUCUUGACAUAGUAAGAACUUCCAGAGAUGGAUUGGUGC